RNAcentral lists this long non-coding RNA (901 nucleotides) under Homo sapiens (human). Its description in RNAcentral is "non-protein coding lnc-MLH1-3:1". The record is from RNAcentral. Lineage: Eukaryota; Metazoa; Chordata; Mammalia; Primates; Hominidae.
GUCUGUCAUCUGUCACUAGAGGGUGAGCACCUCAAAGUCUAGGAUUUUAUCUUGUUCAUUCUGUGUUCCCAGCUCCCUGGCACUUUACUGACACAAUGCUUGUGGAAUGAAUGAAUAAACAGCACAGAUCAGUAAUUAAACCAAUGUCAGGAAGCUACUAGAUAUAAUUACAAAUUAGUAUUCAUGACAAUAAGUUUAUCAUCAUAAGAGCUUAGGAGUGGAGGAAAACAAUUUUCAGCAGGAUGGCUAAGGAAUUUGCAUUUGAACUGGGAAACUAAUUCUCAUAGGUAAGGGGAGGAAAAAGGAAGAACAGUCUGGAAAUGAAACUAAAGUCCCAAAGGUCAGAAAGCCUGCGGUGGUCUCUGACAGCGAGAACGGUAGGGGUGGCAAGUAAGACAACAAAUGAAAUAAAAUAAUUAUAAUAAAGUAUUCUUAAAGGGGAACUGUGAGGAGACAGUUGUGUAGGGACAACUGAGGUGGUGGGAUAAGAAUAAGAAAGUGCUUCGAGGACUCUGCUGACAGCCAUCUUGAACCACUGCCACACUUGUAAAGGUGUUUGUUUCCUAUGGUGAUAUCACUGUUGCUUCUUUUCCCUAGCUUCAGUCCUGCAGAGACUUUACACUAGGAGCUGCUCCUUCCAUUUAGGUAUGCCGCCACCGUGCGGUGGGAGUGUGCAGCUACAUGACUUACUGGCAGGCUCACAUUUUACCUUAACAUAAGUGGAUGGAAAUUGUUCUCAAGCUCAGCACGUUUACAGAUCCAACUUUAAUGACAUCUAAAUAUCAUACAGAGAUUUAUCUUUACAUUAGCUGGGGUCAAGCAAAGAAGACCAUACGCAACUCAGUUCACAAUCAACCAGGCCCUCCCUCCUUCAUGUGUAUUCCUUCUGUGUUUUCCUCCU